UACGAAGGGGGCUAGCGUUGUUCGGAAUUACUGGGCGUAAAGCGCGCGCAGGCGGUCCUUUAAGUCGGGGGUGAAAGCCCAGAGCUCAACUCUGGAACUGCCUUCGAAACUAGAGGACUUGGGUACGGGAGAGGUGAGUGGAAUUCCGAGUGUAGAGGUGAAAUUCGUAGAUAUUCGGAAGAACACCAGUGGCGAAGGCGGCUCUCUGGUACGUGACUGACGCUGAGACGCGAAAGCGUGGGGAGCAAACAGG
Molecule: ribosomal RNA, 253 nt
Filed under: uncultured bacterium
Lineage: Bacteria
Description: partial 16S ribosomal RNA
Rfam family: Bacterial small subunit ribosomal RNA
Source: RNAcentral